AUUCCAGCUCCAGUAGCGUAUAUUAAAGUUGUUGCAGUUAAAAAGCUCGUAGUUGGAUUUCUGGCGUGGCCCGCCCGGCCCGCCGCCGAUAAGGCGGCGAGUGCCGGCGCGAGCCUGCCAUCCUUCCGGAGAGCGCGCGUGCCCUUCACUGGGUUGCGCGCGCGGUCUGGAUCGUUUACUUUGAAAAAAUUAGAGUGUUUAAAGCAGGCUUACGCUUCUGAAUACAUUAGCAUGGAAUAAUAAGAUAGGACUUUGGUUCUAUUUUGUUGGUUUCUAGGACUAAAGUAAUGAUUGAUAGGGACAGUUGGGGGUGCUAGUAUUUAACGGCCAGAGGUGAAAUUCUUGGAUUCGUUAAAGACUAACUAAUGCGAAAGCAUUCACCAAGGAUGUCUUCAUCG
This 398-nucleotide ribosomal RNA is filed under the name Massisteria sp. RNAcentral describes it as "partial small subunit ribosomal RNA". It matches the Rfam family "Eukaryotic small subunit ribosomal RNA", at positions 582 to 975 of the family's 1831-position model. Lineage: Eukaryota; Cercozoa; Massisteriidae. The record is from RNAcentral.